GAAUAUUGGACAAUGGGCGAAAGCCUGAUCCAGCCAUGCCGCGUGUGUGAAGAAGGUCUUCGGAUUGUAAAGCACUUUAAGUUGGGAGGAAGGGCAGUAAGCGAAUACCUUGCUGUUUUGACGUUACCGACAGCAUAAGCCACGGCUAACUCUGUGCCCGCCGCCGCGGUAAUACAGAGGGUGGAAGCGUUAAUCGGAAUCACUGGGGCUAAAGCGCGCGUAGGGGGGUCGUUAAGUUGGAUGUGAAAUCCCCGGGCUCAACCUGGGAACUGCAUCCAAAACUGGCGAGCUAGAGUAGGGCAGAGGGUGGUGGAAUUUCCUGUGUAGCGGUGAAAUGCGUAGGUAUAGGAAGGAACACCAGUGGCGAAGGCGACCACCUGGGCUCAUACUGACACUGAGGUGCGAAAGCGUGGGGAGCAAACAG
RNAcentral lists this ribosomal RNA (424 nucleotides) under uncultured bacterium. Its description in RNAcentral is "partial 16S ribosomal RNA". It matches the Rfam family "Bacterial small subunit ribosomal RNA", at positions 359 to 775 of the family's 1533-position model. The record is from RNAcentral.